GAUGAACGCUGGCGGCGUGCCUAAUACAUGCAAGUCGAGCGGAUGUUUCCUGCUGGCUCCUUGCUUCCGAUGGGGACGGGGAGGUACGGACGGGGGAGCUACCCGUGGGUAACGUAUACCGUAGGGAGGGGGAACCCAAGGAAACAGACGCUCAUACCGCAUAACAGUUUGUUCCGCAGAGCACAAGCGUUCAAGUGGCCCUCGGGCGUCGUUGCUGGAUGGAGCCGCGAAGCAUUAGCUAGUUGGUGAGGUAACGGCCCACCAAGGCGACGAUCCGUAACCGGUCUGAGAGGAUGAUCAGCCACACUGGAACUGAGACACGGUCCAGACUCCUACGGGAGGCAGCAGUAGGGAAUAUUCGGCAAUGGGCGAAAGUCUGACCGAGCCAUGCCGCGUGAGUGAAGAAGGUCUUCGGAUCGUAAAACUCUGUUAUUAGGGAAGAACAAGAGUGUUAGUAACUGAUCGUGUCCUGACGGUAUCUAAACAGAAAGCCACGGCUAACUACGUG
Molecule: ribosomal RNA, 508 nt
Filed under: uncultured bacterium
Lineage: Bacteria
Description: partial 16S ribosomal RNA
Rfam family: Bacterial small subunit ribosomal RNA
Source: RNAcentral